RNAcentral lists this transfer RNA (75 nucleotides) under Candidatus Uhrbacteria bacterium. Its description in RNAcentral is "tRNA-Phe". It matches the Rfam family "tRNA". From Rfam's summary of the family: Transfer RNA (tRNA) molecules are approximately 80 nucleotides in length. Lineage: Bacteria; Candidatus Uhriibacteriota. The record is from RNAcentral.
GCCGAGGUAGCUCAGUGGUAGAGCGCGGGCCUGAAGAGCCCGGCGUCGUCAGUUCGAUUCUGACUCUCGGCACCA